Molecule: long non-coding RNA, 1644 nt
Organism: Oryctolagus cuniculus (rabbit)
Lineage: Eukaryota; Metazoa; Chordata; Mammalia; Lagomorpha; Leporidae
Source: Ensembl
AUGGUUCCACAGAGUUGCUCUUGGCGUUUUGGUAGGGACUGUGUUCAGGACGCGCUGCCCUCGAGUGGCGUGGCACCGUUAGCGGUGCUGCUGUCCCCCGCAGCGGACUCUGCCUGCCUCUCCCUUUGUGUCCCCUUCAGUGUCUGCACCGUGUCUGUCCCGUGUCUGUCACCGUGUCUGUCACUGUGUCAGCACCGUGUCUGCACCAUGUCUGUCACCGUGUCUGCACCGUGUCUGUCACCGUGUCUGCACUGUGUCUGUCACUGUGUCUUCACCGUGUCUACACCGUGUCUGUCACCGUGUUUGCACCGUGUCUACACCGUGUCUGCACCGUGUCUACACCGUGUCUGUCACCAUGUCUGCACCAUGUCUGUCACUGUGUCUGCACCAUGUCUGUCACUGUGUCUGCACUGUGUCUACACCGUGUCUGUCACCAUGUCUGCACCAUGUCUGUCACCGUGUCUGCACUGUGUAUGCCCCAUGUCUGUCACUGUGUCUGCCCCGUGUCUGUCACCAUGUCUACACCAUGUCUGUCACCAUGUCUGCACCGAGUCUGCACCGUGUCUGCCCCAUGUCUGUCACUGUGUCUGCACCGUGUCUACACCGUGUCUGUCACCAUGUCUGCACCGUGUCUGUCCCGUGUCUGUCACCGUGUCUGCACUGUGUCUGUCACCGUGUCUGCACCGUGUCUGCACUGUGUCUGUCACCGUGUCUGUCACCAUGUCUGCACCGUGUCUGUCACCGUGUCUGCCCCGUGUCUGCACAGUGGAGAGGUGCUAUGUGGGGAGAAGUGUGUGUGUCCAGCUGUGGACAGGUGCUGUGAGUGGGGAGACGUGUGUGUCCAGCUGUGGACAGAUGUGUGUGUGUGGGGAGAAGGGUGUGUUCCCCAACUGUGGACAGGUGCUGUGUGUGGGGAGAAGUGUGUGUUCCCCAGCUGUGUGCAGGUGCUGUGUGUGGGGAGACGUGUGUGUCCAGCUGUGGACAGCUGUGUGUGUGUGGGGAGAAGUGUGUGUGUCUAGCUGUGGACAGGUGCUAUGUGUGGGGAGAUGUGUGUGUCCAGCUGUGGGCACGUGCUGUGUGUGGGGAGAAGUGUGUGUUCUCCAGUGUGGACAGGUGCUGUGUGUGGGAGAAGGGUGUGUUCCCAGCUGUGAACAGGUGUGUGUGUGGGGGGAGAAGUGUCGCUCCCCGUCUUCGUGGAGGAACGACACAGGACCCUGCGCUGUUCUUUCGUCUGCUCAGCCCUCCCCGGGUUUGCUGCUGGUUCUUCCCGGGUUGGCUACUAUCCCUUCCACCUCCGUGGAAGGGCAGUUCCCCCUGGCCACAUUCCCCACUUCCACAGGGGAGCGGCACACCGCCGGCCGGCUCUCUGGGGGCUGCACAGGUGUUCCCUUAGAUGUUCCCCUUAGAUGUUCCUUUAGAUGUUCCUGGUGCAUGCCGUCUCUCUCCUCCUUUAUAGUCCUCCGCCAAUCCCAACUCAGCUGCCCAUAUGCCGAGUACGCUGCUCUCCUCCAAUCAGGAGCGAGUUCUACAGUUUAUUGGCUGAACUGGAGGCACCUGUGUAGAAGCUGUUUUCUUCUCUUCCAGCGCCAUAUUGUGGGAGAGCAGAUGCAUAGAAUAAGUCUUAAUUCCAGUAACUCAGUCUAG